This 693-nucleotide long non-coding RNA is filed under the name Malus domestica (apple). RNAcentral's name for it is "long non-coding RNA (MDOM_LNC012874)". Lineage: Eukaryota; Viridiplantae; Streptophyta; Magnoliopsida; Rosales; Rosaceae. The record is from RNAcentral.
GAAGCCUUUCAGCAAACCAUGGAUGGCAAUGAGGCAGAGCUGGCAGAAGUCCGUUCAUUGUAUAAUGAAGUGUCAGCUCGAAAGUAUUCUGAAGGGUAGGACCAGAGCUAUAUUAUGGGCUUUGUUGGUCAAGAUCAUUACAAUAGAUGGGACACUUGUCCUAAGUAGAGAUACUGAGGGCAGAAUUACCAGUUUCCCCAAACUAGUGGUGAAUGUUGUUGAGCCGGAGGCCUUUAAUGAAUCAGAGGUAGGUUCUAACACUAAGUCUCCCCUUGAGGAGGUUACUCCAUUAAUUUCGGAAGUCUGUUGUGAAUAAACACCCAUCACUGACAAGGGUAGUUGCUGAGGUGAUGACUUUUUCUGUUGCAUAACCAAAGGUUGCUUGUAAUUCUCUUGGCCCAAAAUGCGGCUUGUCCCUUCUAUAUUUAAAAAAAAAAAUUCCCUUGUUGUGGAACUUGGGCUCCUUUUGUUUUUAAUGAAUAGAUUUGAUACUUCUUUGCAAGUUUUGGUUUUGACAAAGUAGUUCUAUUCAAGUCUUUAAGCCUGUUUGAGUAAAAUACUUAUAAUGCCUCAUUCCUUGCUCCCACAUGGUGGCAUGUAGUUUAGUCCGCCAAUAAUUUAGAGUAAGCUAACUCAGAGUAUAAGGUAUUGAGACAAACAUGGGUAGUGUGUAAGCCUGGAACAAAGCUCGAA